GGGGCACGGGGCAUAAAAGCUAUGUGGAACGAACGACAACAAAAACAACGACGACGGCUGCAACUCGACGGAGGGGAGAGACGCGAGGCGGGACACAGGCAAGUGGCUGCUCAGUUCUCUGUGGUAGUUAUGGCGCGCUCGAAACGUACGAUGACAAAGACGUAGAUAAGGAACAGAAACAUGCACACACACCCGUACACACUCGAGUAUAAUAAAAUGAAAUAAGCAACGGCGUCGCCAGCCAGCCAGCCAGGCCAUUCGUAUUCGUAUUCGUUUCUUCGCUCGUUCGCCGUCAGAGGGGAGGGAUCCAAAAUACGUUGAGAGUGUGAGAGAGCGUGAUGUGAGCGAGGGGGCCAAGGGCGGCGGCAACGGCGACGUUGAUGACGAGAAUAGCAAGCAAGCUGAAGCAGGAACGUACCGGUGGGGAGGAGAGGGGACGCCAAAGGCGAAGCAAAGGCCAGAGAUAGAAUGCUUUGUGCGCGGUUAGCUUUUGGUGUGAAGGGGGAGUAGAGUGGGAGCAGCGAGGAAAUACGAAGGCGGCCCACGUUUGUAGUUAAGUAUGCGUGUCUGUGUGUAGAAAAAUUACUUGGAAGAAAAACAAGCGCUGAGCGGGAACAACAACAAUGAAAUCAUUUAUAACGAAAGAACACAACAAAAUGAAAAACGAAAAAAGUAAAACAGAGUUCGCACUCGAAGUUUAAAAUAGCAAAGUAAACUUGAAAAUGCCCCAAAGCUCCUGCCUUUCCAUAUCCAUCACUCUAUUACAUUCUUCGCCACCCAUGCGAUUACAGCAAAAUGUUAUUGAAUUAACUGUUGUGUUGUGCUGUGGGUGUGGGGACGAGUGCAGUGAGGCCGAGAGCAGGACAGAUAGACAGUGCUCAUAAAGUUCAGCAGAGAUUUACGCGCCAAAAAGUAAGAGACUCAAGUGAAUGAGCACCACAAGGAAGGUGCCAAGGGUUCGAGACCUCGUCUUUCCUUAAGACUGGAAUGAUGUAGCGCCUUUUGCCACAAUUUUUGACUUUAGUUUUUCAAAAGCACUUUAACUCUUUUUUUAUGCAAUGUCAUUUAAAUAAAGAAUGUACAAACACACUCAUUGGCCACACACACACAAGUAUUUGCCCAUGCGUGUGCGUGCGCCUGCCCUGGAGAUGUUGGUCGUCAGCUGCUGGGACCUUUGUGGCUUACCACCUUAAACCUUAAAACCCUUUGCGAUGAAUGUUGAAUGUGGCAGGCACGAAAACAAAAACACCCAGCAAAAGAGAGAGAACAGGUAAUAAACUUUGGGAUACGAAUACCAUAAAAAACGAGAAGGGAGCACGAACACCACAUAGCUUUGAGGACCGAUGCUUUUGAUACCCUUGUACUUUCAUACAUUCAUACAUAUAUCGAAUUUGGUCGCAAGAUUUGUAUCCCUGUUGACUAAGUUUUGUGUAGACAAUUCCAACCAUCUGAUUGAAAUAUUUAAUACGAAUAAUAAAACGUCAAACUACUAACUUUUUUACCGCAUCCCUACUUUCACACUAGAAUCUUCCUGAGGGGGAGCUAGCAGAGUGGGGCUGCGGUCGCAACCACCACAUCCACCUCUGAUCAAAACCAACCAAAGAGACAAGGAGUGGAGGUGACAAGGGUGCAGGCACAGCUGAGCGGUUGCGAAAACAGCGACAGACAAUCAGACUGUCGUUCAUUAGAGGGUGAGUGCGUGUGUAUGCAUGUAUGGUUGUAGGAGUGGAAGCGGGAUGCAAUUUCUGUUUGUGCUGGCUUAAAAAUUGUAUGAGCGAAACGAAAGUUUGUGUGGCUCUGUGUGUCUCUCCACAGCUUUGUAUGGAUGCAUGUGUUUGUGUAAAUGGCAACGGGGAACGCCAACAGCAAACGUACAUACAUAUACGCACGAACACUCCCAAACGGAGAGUAUACAUCGGAGAAGUCGGUUCGGUUCGUUUCGUUCCAUUCGUUUUGCAAGCACCCUGCUCUGACCACUUUACAGCAUGGCAGCAGACGUGACAGACCGACAGUCCCAACAGUCCGCCAGCCCGACAGCAGUAAAAACAACAACUGCAAACCACUUUGUGCACAGACAUUUGUCCCAUGAAUCGAGUUGGAUGGAGCUCCCAGCGUCAGAUCCAGAACCGGCAGAGCCAAAGCCAAAGCUCCACUUCUCUCCGCGCCCGACUCAAUCCGGACCCGACUUGUUCGCUUCGUUCGUUUCGUUUCGUGGUGUGUAUCCAAACGAAGUGAACUGAAAAACAAGCAAACUCACACACAGGCGCACCAGCAGUGGAGCCAGAGCAACGGCAGAGAAACAGCCAGCCCCCAAUGAGUGGAGCACUAAACAUCCCAGCAACAACAGAAAAUGCGACAGAGAAAAACCGGAAAAAUUGUCCAUUGGCCGCGGCCAUGUGACGGCUCGCCGAGCUCAGGGUUGGGGGCUGGCGGGGAUUCUCCAAAUGUAGCUCAGGAGCAGACCGAGCACCUUAGCUAGCUAUGGGGAUGGUGGGGAUGGUCGCGUGACAAGAUUUUCAGUCACAGUCACAAAGGGUAAUUUUAUUUUCACACAAAUCGACUACUCUUCUUGUUUCACGUAAGUGCACGCUAUUGCACAUACAUAUGUCACGCGUCCACCUCUAGUACUUGGUGCACUAAAAUUUGGAUAGCAUGAAAUGAAUUCCGUUGUUGUUGGCUGUUGGGGGCAGAUUGCCUACAGAACAUGACGCAGAGCAAUCUUGAAAUAAGUUUUAAAGUAGGACAGCGAUUCCUAUCGGGACGGGGAUGGUGCUGUGGAAAUCGAUGGAAAUGUCAAUGGAAGUUUAAAUCAUAGUAUAAUGCUUGCAUGUCCAUAUGUAUGCAUUUUGAUGAAAGCAUUUGGUAUAACGAUUGGAAGAGACCGUAAAAUGUUGGCAAUUUUUGUUGCCAAAGCGGGAAAAUGUUGAGUAGUUAAAUAUUGCAAUAUUAUUUCUGUCAGUGUGUGUACACACACACACACACACAAACCAAUGGAAUUUAAAGCAGCUUACAAAUGCAAUAUUGAAUCAGCGAGGGCAACGGGGGAGUGGAAAUGGACUCCAUCCCCCGCCCCAUGCUGUGCCGGAUUAAAAUGGCUGGACGGCUGAUUACAGUUCUUUCCGCUCUCUUCUAUUUGUUUUGUGACGCUAGUGGCAUUAAAAAGGUAAUCAACAUGUCCAGAAGGGGUCAGGAGAGAGAGAAGAGACCGACGCUCAGAGCGUACAGGCGGGAAGUGUAUGAGAGAGAGUAGCUUUGCUCAGCGUGAACCAUCAUUAAAUUUGCAGUUGCAGUUACAUUUGCGAGUGAUAGAGAGUCAUGUGCUCCAGCAUUGAUGGAUUAAAGAUACAUUAUUUGGUAGAGACAUGUGGACGAUGGGAUAGAUUGAAGAUUAAAUUAACAUGACUUGCCACGAAAAGCAUAAAAAUGUAAACAUAAACCGCUAAAAACAUCCAACAGCAGCAAAAAAUAAGAACGAAAAGAAGAACAACAAUGACCUUGGCAUUGACCCAAAUAUAUGGAAGCAGACAAACAUUUCUGUGUGAUCUUGAGCGUAGUGUAGUCAGUGUGUGUAUGUGUAUGUUUAACGGUGUGUGCACCAAAUAUAAAAGGAAAAAAGCAAAAUACAAAAUAAAGAAAUGGCAGGAGAAUGAAAGGCAACAAAAGCAACAGAAAAGGCGGCUGCGGACAUGCUGAACGAAUAAAUGGGGUGCACCAAAAAAACGCACACACAGACUCAUACCAGAAUGUACAUGCAGACGCAUAUGCAUACAUAUGUGGGUAAGACAGCCCCCCACUCUGCAGAUACCAUAGUCGUUAAGAAUGUGCAGCGAAAACUGCAUUACCUUCUAUUUAAGAUACCUUGUACAUACAUAUAUAUGUACAUGCAUACGUAUGCAAGACAUCCCCAGAGCACGGUGGUUAUUUCGUUUGUAGUUGUUGUUGUCCUUCACUGUAUUACGCCAUUCCCCCACGCUAGCCGAAUAUCUUCCAACAAAAACAAAACCGAAAUUCUUAGAAAACAGACUAAAACAAAUCAAUCGAAAAUGCUCAUGACACGUGCAUACCACUCACUAGGUAAAGGGGGAGAGGGAUGACAGGAGGCAGAAUUGCCGGCGAUGCGAAAAAUAAGACAAAAGGGAAAAAAUGCCGAUGGCAGACGCGACGCAAACGCAGCGACGCCGCCACGCAAAGAAAUAGUAAUCAAAACAAAAUAAAAAUCAUUAAAAUUCAUAAAAAAAGACAGCGACAACAACAACGAUAAGAGCAACAACAGCUUUAAAGUUGUACGAGGAACGGACCGGGGAGAAAACGAACGGGAUGCGAUAGCAGUUCAAGUUCAAGCGUUAGACAGAGACGGAUGGAAUGAGGUGAAGUGGGAGGUGUUUAACCUAAAAGAAAAUUCGUAAAACACAAACAAAAGAGAGGAGGUUGAAAGGGGUAAGGGGAACCAGCCAGAGCAGAGCCAACCCAAAAAGUGAGUGCGAACGGGUACCCCCAUUGUAAAUAUGCGAGUGCCAUCCCAUGGAAAGGCAUAAAUAUUUGACCUGCCUGUGCCUGUUUCUGCCCGUAUAAUAGGAACAGAGUGUGUGUGAGAGGACGAGUGCUGGAGUGGAGUGAGUUGAGUAAAAGGCAGGCAGGUAAAGAGUACGUAUGAGUGUAUGCCUCUGUGACGUCACCAGUCAAGUUCACGUGCUGUUCACGCAGUCCCAGUUUAUUGACCCACUUUCGAUGUGUAUUAUCUAGAAAUGAAGCCAACUCGAGGCGCAUACGAGCGGAGGGGGUACAGGGACUCUGGCGAGGCAAACCAAACCAUUCAAUGAAUGAGAGUGGUCUUCCCUCUUCAAAAUGCUCCGUAUAACGAAAUCACCAUCGUCUCUGUUCUUACCUGAUGCGGCGAGGGGGAUGCCUGCGAGGGCUGUGGCGAGGGACUGGGAGCAUGGCCUGGACUGCUGGGUGGGGGUCCUCCGGCUGCAGCAUGCGGCGGAGGGGGCUGUUGCAGUGGCUGCGACACAUGAUGCGGGGAGGCGGGCGGCAAUGGAUGUCCGGGACCAGGACUGGGCGAAGAACCGCCAGGCCAGGGCCGAUUCGGUUCCGGAUACUGCAAUGGAAUCAUGAUUAAUCUCUGGUUGGAUCAAACAAGAAGGACAAUCCUCUCACCUGGUGCGUCGAAUAGGCAGUUCGAUGAUUGGGUCCCGCGGCCGGCAGUCCGGGCGGAGUGGGGUAUCUUUGCGGGUACGGCGAAUAUUGAGAUGUUGGCGGUGUGUUCUGCUGCGGCUGUUGCUGUGCGGCGCCCGGCGGAGGUCCUCCCGGUCCCGCGCCACCAGGCUGCUGACCCGCCUGCUGCUGUUGUGCCUGUGCCUGCUGCUGCUGCGGCGAACUAGGAUAGGAACCUGAAUUUUGACCGUGAGCUGGCGGAUAAGGCGAUUGACCCCUGGAAGUGUUUGUCUGUGAAUGCACAGAAG
Molecule: long non-coding RNA, 5462 nt
Organism: Drosophila obscura
Lineage: Eukaryota; Metazoa; Arthropoda; Insecta; Diptera; Drosophilidae
Exons: 3
Source: RefSeq, a predicted model, not a curated record